This 388-nucleotide ribosomal RNA is filed under the name uncultured eukaryote. RNAcentral's name for it is "partial 18S ribosomal RNA". It matches the Rfam family "Eukaryotic small subunit ribosomal RNA", at positions 592 to 976 of the family's 1831-position model. The record is from RNAcentral.
CAAUAGCGUAUAUUAAAGUUGUUGCAGUUAAAAAGCUCGUAGUUGGAUUUCCGAUCGAGACAUCAGGUCGGGUCCGAGAGGAUCAUGUACUUUGAUUUUGUUUUGAUCAUCCUUGGGGAGAGCAUUUCUGGCAUUCAGUUGUCGGGAUUGGGAUCCUCAUCGUUUACUGUGAAAAAAUUAGAGUGUUCAAAGCAGGCCUCGGCCUCUGAAUACAUUAGCAUGGAAUAAUAAGAUAGGACUUUGGUGGUCUAUUUUGUUGGUUUGCACGCCAAAGUAAUGAUUAAUAGGGAUAGUUGGGGGUAUUCGUAUUCAAUUGUCAGAGGUGAAAUUCUUGGAUUUAUGGAAGACGAACUACUGCGAAAGCAUUUACCAAGGAUGUUUUCAUUAA